This 441-nucleotide ribosomal RNA is filed under the name uncultured Acinetobacter sp. RNAcentral describes it as "bacterial SSU rRNA". It matches the Rfam family "Bacterial small subunit ribosomal RNA", at positions 358 to 790 of the family's 1533-position model. The record is from RNAcentral. Lineage: Bacteria; Pseudomonadati; Pseudomonadota; Gammaproteobacteria; Moraxellales; Moraxellaceae.
GGAAUAUUGGACAAUGGGGGGAACCCUGAUCCAGCCAUGCCGCGUGUGUGAAGAAGGCCUUUUGGUUGUAAAGCACUUUAAGCGAGGAGGAGGCUACUUUGGUUAAUACCCAGAGAUAGUGGACGUUACUCGCAGAAUAAGCACCGGCUAACUCUGUGCCAGCAGCCGCGGUAAUACAGAGGGUGCGAGCGUUAAUCGGAUUUACUGGGCGUAAAGCGUACGUAGGUGGUCUUUUAAGUCGGAUGUGAAAUCCCUGAGCUUAACUUAGGAAUUGCAUUCGAUACUGGGAGACUAGAGUAUGGGAGAGGAUGGUAGAAUUCCAGGUGUAGCGGUGAAAUGCGUAGAGAUCUGGAGGAAUACCGAUGGCGAAGGCAGCCAUCUGGCCUAAUACUGACACUGAGGUACGAAAGCAUGGGGAGCAAACAGGAUUAGAUACCCUAG